RNAcentral lists this transfer RNA (69 nucleotides) under Sciurotamias davidianus (Pere David's rock squirrel). Its description in RNAcentral is "tRNA-Glu". It matches the Rfam family "tRNA". From Rfam's summary of the family: Transfer RNA (tRNA) molecules are approximately 80 nucleotides in length. Their secondary structure includes four short double-helical elements and three loops (D, anti-codon, and T loops). Further hydrogen bonds mediate the characteristic L-shaped molecular structure. tRNAs have two regions of fundamental functional importance: the anti-codon, which is responsible for specific mRNA codon recognition, and the 3' end, to which the tRNAs corresponding amino acid is attached (by aminoacyl-tRNA synthetases). tRNAs cope with the degeneracy of the genetic code in two manners: having more than one tRNA (with a specific anti-codon) for a particular amino acid; and 'wobble' base-pairing, i.e. permitting non-standard base-pairing at the 3rd anti-codon position. Lineage: Eukaryota; Metazoa; Chordata; Mammalia; Rodentia; Sciuridae. The record is from RNAcentral.
GUUUUUAUAGUUGAAUUACAACGAUGAUUUUUCAUGUCAUUGGUCGUGGUUAAACCCCAUGUAAAAAUA